CACCCAAUCGAUGCCCAGCCCCGAGCGUCCAAUCCCCUCCCCUUCGUGUCCUCCCCAUGCCCAUCCUGCUCGGCCGCCGCCGCCGCCAUCGCUGCCGCUCGCGCCCAGCUACUGAUCUUCUCCAUGGCUCAAAGAAAGAGAUGCUACGAGCAGCAAGGCAAUUUGGCUGGAGGAGAUGGAGCACGACGUGUGGAAGCUAGCAGGAAAGGUGAAGACCGAUGGGGGCUCAGCCUCCACCGCCGCCCUCCUCCCCCUUGCCGCCGAGAUCGUGCCCCCACAGCAGCUCGCGGAUGAGACGUAACUCAGCAGUGCUUGGCUUCGGUUUGGCCGGAAAGACGCCGGCCAACAACACAACAGCCGGCCCUCCUUUGCAUCUUCAUUUUUUUGGAGACCUACAGCUUCUGUUUUCUAGAGAUUUCCCCCCUUCGACUAUUGUGGAAAUGUUUUGUGCACGCAAGGAAUGUUUGUUUACAGAUCUUCAAUAACAGUUCAAAGCUUGGAUGAAGUUUUAUGUAUAUUAUGAUGGGAAGGUGCUUCAGCAAACUAUUAGGUCUGCAUUUUUGUGGAACUCAUCUUACUUCUGCUCCAUUUAUUUGACUACUUCCCUUGAUUUGCUUGUGUGCACAUAAUUGGUACUCCACUCUUUUCUGAGAUGGUUGCCCGUCAUUUUUUUUGGUGAAGGUUGUUUGUAUGCUUCUUUUAACCAAUAGUUGGCAUAUAGCCUCCCUUUCUUUACGACACCAUUUUUGUGCGUUCGCUUGGUUAUGGGGCUUUAUAUGCAAUUAUAGUCAAUUUUAUUAUGGUGGCAGCAGGUACUCCAAAUACCUUUUGUGCUGGUUAAGAGUAGGGCCAGCAGUGUAUUUAGACAUCUGCGCGCAUGUUAUCCUUAGGUAAGAAUAGGAUGUAUCUGGUUAUUUUCAGAUAUGGCGAACACACCAAAUAAUUAAAAUUGAGCACUUUCUUAUAUUAUGGAGUUGAUGCAUUUGUGUCUCUUAUGAAUCUGAUGGGCUUAUUUUCUAAUGAAUAUUUUAGAAAUUACAUCUCAUGGCAAUAUACUCAUAUCUAUAAAUUUUAUGUCAAGAGCAUACAGGCGAGACAACAUCACUUAAUGGCCCUCCAACAACUAAUGCAGAAGCUUACAGGCCUUGGAUUUGGAAACGACAAGGCCCUGCAUUCAAGUGGUGGAAUUCACACAUGUAAAGUGAUGGAUCCUCUUAGUUCUUCCAUAUAAAGGCGUGUGAUGGUUGGUCUGCCUGUCUCGCAGCGCUUUGCACUCUAGAACCUGAUAACAGUUAUAAGUCAGUUGCACUCAAUUAUCAGUCUAAGAGAGAUCUCGAUAUCAUAGAGGGUUAUUGUUGAUCCAUGGAUACAGUCCAACAUCCAUGAUUGGAAGAGAAUGGUAAGGUUUCGACUUCAGUUACAUAAAUCUCAUUUGCCUUUCUCGGGUAGGUUUGUUGGUGCUGGGCACCAUUCUUUCUCCUACUUACUCUGGCUUGGCUACAGCUUGCAACACAUUUAUUUUGCAGGUUGUCGACGUGUUACACUAAUGCAGUUGUUCCUUUACGGUGUGUGGGAGGCGCUACAGUCUAUCAGGAGGCAGAAACUACAAUUUUUAAGGAAGAUAAUUGAUACCUUCAGUGGCACACUUGGAGUAUGAAAAUGCCUCAUUUGGAUCUAUGCCCCUCCGUUACUGCCCAACAGCCGGUGAAUUUUUUGUUUUAAGGAGGACCGGUAUUGCGCUCACCAAUAGAUGUUCUACCUCCCUGUAACUGUCAAUCAAGGCAAUUAAAUUAAUCCUAUUGAUAAAUUUUACUCUCUGUUCACACAUAUAAGACCCAUAUUCGAACUGUGUGCCAUGAGGUAUUGGCAAAAAAUUAUUGAAUUUAAUGGUUACUCACUAAAAAUGUAUUGCCAAAAAAGGAAGAAUUUCAUUGGACCAACUUAUCGAAACCUUUAUCUGUCAUGGAGUAAGGUUUCUGGUUCUACAGUGUUGAGUAUAACUUGACCGAUGUCAUUUUUGUCCUUUGUUAGCGCUUAGCUAUGCCUGUGAUGUCUUUGCUAGCUAUUCUGAUUCAUGAUCAAGUCAUAUAAUUAGUUUUACUUUCGCAGAUGGUCUAAAUAGAGAAAUCUUCAUAUUCUUUUCUGUUGCAAGGAGUGUUCUUUCUUCUAGGACAAGAUAUAAGCAAGUUAAGACAAUUUCUAUAACGUGCAUGCAAGCUGUAACUGAAGUUUAUCUGUUCAUUGCUUUUAUUUUGCAGAUCUUGCAGCAGGGAAAGGAACGGACCAUGCAUCAUUACUUCCCUAAUACAUUUUAAAUUGUUUUAUGGUGUAACAUGUGUCAUUAUGAUAUAUUAUAUCUUACAAAUAGGCAUAGGUGACGUGCUCCAUUGACAACAAUUGAUUCACUAUAAUAAUGUUGCAGAUGAGCAUUGCAGCAAUAUUACCUAAAUAUAGCAUGCUUUUUCA
Long non-coding RNA from Lolium rigidum, 2466 nucleotides. RefSeq lists it as uncharacterized. Lineage: Eukaryota; Viridiplantae; Streptophyta; Magnoliopsida; Poales; Poaceae. The transcript has 6 exons. The record is from RefSeq and is a predicted model, not a curated record.